CACAAGGCUGCUGAAUAGGCAGGUGAAGGGGAAUCCUGCCCAGGGCACCGACACGCAGUUCUGAGGCCCGCACAGCCGCGGAGGCAAGGCCGCGCCUCCUCCCCGCCCCCGCCCCCAGCCUCCGGGGGAAGCAGGCUGCAGGAGCCUGACACCGAGAGCCCGCAGUCGCUGGGAGCCGCUCCAGGACACAGCCUGUGCUGUGUAAAGGUUUGAAUAAGGAGAGGGAGAGGAAAGGGCAGCCAGAGCGGUGGUUUGAGUCGGGAGAGUUUGAGCCUAGAGAUGGCUGCGGGGUGGAGGUCGGUGGAGGGGACCUGCAGUUACCUGCUUCUGUGCCUCUCUCCCUGCUCCACCUUGUUCAACCAGCCUGAUGUCCGGAGCGCGGACUCAACACCGCAAGGGCCUCCGGCCCCCAGAGCGGCCUCACGGGAAGGACCCAGGUUCCCUCUGCAAAUGGGGAUCCAGAGACCCAGAACAUUCUAGUUAACACCCCUGCUAGUCUGCAUUCUCCUGCUUCUCCUUAAUAUAGAAGUGCCUUUCCAUGCCCAACAUUUUUCCAAUCAUAAUGCCAAGAAAGGAAACCAUGGAAGAAAGAACCUAGUCCUGGGCCAUCUGGGGUGGAGGAAUAGACAAUGAGCAUCAUGCCUUUCCUAGGGUGAGCAGAGUCAAAGGACAACCAAGUACAGAGAAGAAUCUAGAAGCUGAUUUCUGUUUCCCAGGGUGUCAGAAAUCAGCAGUCCUGAGUAAGAUGCUACCUCUCAGCAUCCCUCCUAUCCUUUUCAAAAUACAGAAGUCUCAAAUAACCUGCUUUCCUGACUUCCAAUUUGUGACAGUUUCCUGUAGCCCAGUCACUAAAUUUACCGGAAAAACUAUAGUCCUGAAAGGUUA
Molecule: long non-coding RNA, 885 nt
Organism: Mustela erminea (ermine)
Lineage: Eukaryota; Metazoa; Chordata; Mammalia; Carnivora; Mustelidae
Exons: 4
Source: RefSeq, a predicted model, not a curated record